This 30652-nucleotide long non-coding RNA is filed under the name Coffea arabica (coffee). Its description in RNAcentral is "long non-coding RNA (CARA_LNC007747)". The record is from RNAcentral. Lineage: Eukaryota; Viridiplantae; Streptophyta; Magnoliopsida; Gentianales; Rubiaceae.
UUUUUUUUUUUUUGUUGAUACGAUAAAUUAUUCUACACUAGGGAGAGGACUUGAAAAGGUCCAAGAAUAAUUUGGAGAGAAUUGAACCAUUAUCAGACGAGUGCACUACACAUUCGCUAGCAUUUUUUAAGCAGAACCACUUUAACAUGACAAAUUGAUGGGAUGCAAGGUUUGAUACAUUGGUGGUGGCUUGCCUCCCACGCCACCGAGCCUUAAUGCAUUAGUGGUGGCAAAGGCUGGUGGUUAUCCUCUCUACUGCCAAUAUGUUGAAUUCUGCUAUGUAGGUGAUGCCUGGAGACCAAGAGGCCAGUAGUUUGCUUUGCGCAGGUCCUUCAAAAUCUUCUAGAGUUUUAAGGGCCUGUUUGGCACCCCAGUUUUUUACCAAGUUUUUUACCUACUAGUUUUUUAACAACUUUUGCUACAGGAACCCCAAAAAACUUUCCAAAGUUUUUUAUCUACACAUUUCAAAAAUCUAUACACAAAAAAUUUCCCAAAAACUUUCCUUCCUCCCUCACCCAACCCACCACACCAGCCACCACCUCUACCACCUCUCCCGACGCCAGUAACCUCAAAAAAAAUUUUUGAGUCCCUCACCCUCACCCCCUCUCCUUCCCUCCCCUCUUCCCCUCUCCCUCCCCCGCCACCCUCUCCCUCCUGCUAGGUACGAUAGGGGAGAGGGAGGGGGCUGCGAUCUGGUCGCGGUCUGGUCCCAGAUCGCAAAGCAGAGAGGGAGAGGGUGGCGGAGGAGGGAGAGGGGAAGAGGGAAGGUAGGGAGGGAGAGGGGAAGAGGGAAGGGAGGGAGGGAGAGACAAAGCAAAAAAAAAAUAAUAAUGCACAGCUGCCGGCCUUCCUCGGGCGUCGGAGUGCGAGGGAGAGGGAAGAGGGGAGGAAAGGGGGAGAGUGGGCAGAGAGGGUGGCGGGCCUAGGGGGUAGCGGGCAGAGAGGAGAAGAAAUGAAUGGUGGAAAAGUUUAGGGGUGGCGGGGGAGGGAGAGGGACGGGGGAGAGGAGAAAAGCAAAAAGAAAAAAAAAGAAGAACAGAGGUGGGAGGCAGAGGAGAGGUAAUGGGGAAGGGGGAGGGGAAAGGAAGAAGAAGAAGAAGAGGAGAGGAAAGAAAAGAAAAAGGAAAGAAAGAAAAAGAAAAAGAAAGAGAAAGAGAAAAAAAGUUUUUCACCUUACAAAAACUUCUACAAAAUUUUUUCAAAAACUUCUACAGUGCACUACAGUAAAGUUUUAGACAAACUCCCAAAAAAUUCAGGUUCCAAAGAGGCCCAAAUUGUGAUGACUCGUAAAAUUUCUUAUAUUUUUAUUAAAAUUCCCUUUAGUUUGAAAUUUUUUACUUUACAAAACUUUUAAUACACAUUCACUUCCCCAAUAGCUACAAAUAAUCAUAAAAACAAGGGUUUUCCUUUUUACUUUCAUCGUUACGAUAAAUUAGGGUUUUUACGCCUUUUCGUCGUGUGAUUAUUCGGUACGGAGUGUGGAUAAAAUUUGGUGAUUAAGAAUGAGUUUUAGAUGAUAUUAAGUGUGGGAUUAGAAGUAAUAAUAAUGAGGUAGUAAAUUAUAAGUUAAAACCCUAGUAUACGCGAUUUAAGGAAAAAACAAUUCGGACCGACGGGUGUCGCGCGCUACUGAUUGAACACACCACUUGAACACUACUCUAUUACCUCAAUCUCCUUACUUUUAUUUCAGCAAAAAUCAUCCCAAAAUACCCUUCAAGGCAGCUGAAAUUCUUGACUCCAAGAGAGAGAGAAAAGAAAAAAAAUUGUGAGAACCUAAGUGUGACAAGUGUUGGCCAUUUAAGGCCCUUUGACCAAGCCAACUUUCUUACCUUCUUAUCUUCAUUUUAGCUCAUUUCUUCACCAUUUUUUUUCUUGUUUGGCCAAGAGCAAGGAGAGGGAGAAAGAGUGAAGAGAAUUUCUAUUUCCAACCUCAAAUCAAGAGUUGAGAGUGAAACCAAGAAAAACUAAAUUGAUUAACUUGUAGGUUGAGAGUUGGGGAAGCUUAAGGACCCAAAAAUUUCAAGGAGAAGUGGAGGAUAACUCUAGCAAACUUUGUUUUUGAGGUAAUAUGGCUGACCACCCCUUUCUUUUUCCUUAAUCAUGUUGGAGUUGCUUAGUAGCUUGUAUUUGUGGUUGUAAUGCUUAUAUCAAGUGAUUUUGGAUGGUUGGGGGUGAUGAAUUUGAGUUUGGGUUUGAAUGAUUCACUUAUCAUACUUGUUGUAUGGGUGGUAUAUGAUGUAUAUAAGUUGGUAUAAGAGGUGGUAGUGAUAGUUUCAAGCUAAAAAUGAGAUUUAUACCUUGAUUGUAGCAAAUUUCCAGAAUUGAAGUUAAAGUAUACCCUGUUCUGCCCUGUUCUAGUUCACUAUGUUAGAGGCCGAAUUAGGCUUAACCUAAAACAUAAAAGUUGUAUAGAAUGAUAUUUUAUAGCUGCCUGCAAAAUUUCAGCUCAAUCAGAGCAAUGUAGCCUAUGAAAAGACCGAAAUACCCUGACUGCCCUAGGUGAAUCCAGUGAUCAGUUUUGGAUAUUUUACCAAUCUGGUCGUGUCUUUUCACCAUAAUAUGUACUAAACUAGUAUUUAUCCAAAACAUGAAAUUUGUAGUACUAUGUUUUAACUUUCCAACGCCCCUGAGAACGCCUUAAUCGGACUUCGGUAGCUUGAGUUAUGGUCAUUUGAAUGUAGUGCAGUUAACUAGCCUAUUGGUAGGAAUCCGGUUUGUAAAUUGGGAAUCUGACUUGGAUACACUAGAAACUGGACUAAGUGGUCUUCAUCAAAGUUGUAAGCCUUUGUCUUAGAUUCGAAAUGGUAUAAAUUACACCCCAAUCUGAUAAGGGUAUCUUCGGUUGUGUCCGUUCCGCUAAGCGACAUCAAAUCUGUCUUUUGUUUUUUGACUUAAAUUUCAUUUCCGGACAUUUUCCUAACUUGAUUUUGUACUUGUAUGACUUUGAACCUAUUGAAUGGCUAUUGAAAUGAAAUUAUUUUGUGAGUGACUUUGGGACUGAUUGAGGAAAAGAAUGAAGCCAUAAAUGGCUGAAAAAUAGGUAAAUACAAAGGACGUGCUGCCCAAAUUUACGCUCGAAGACUAGGUAGAUAUACUUGUGACUUGAGUAAGGUUUGAGAGCGAAUACCACGUGAACCAUCUAGGAUAUUUGCGUCUUCUUUUAUCGAGGUAUAUAAGUUAGAACUUGGCCGAACUUGUACCCUUGAGAAAAUGGAAAUAACGACUACUUGAAAUAUGUUUUCCUCGUUCUUUUGACUCCAAUGGGAGUUCUAAAAUUUUAACCGCUUCCUUAUCGAAACUAAACAAGCGAGUAUGAAUUUUCUGGGAUUUGAUAAGUAUCCGGAAUACUACAUAACGAGUUACAUUUACUUAAUUUUCUUGAAGCGAAACUCCUAUGUUUCAAAUUCUAGAAAGGUUUACAUUCGUAAAUGAUAUUUUAUCGCAGAUUUGGACUCCAACCAAGGAGUUGGACCGGAACGUGAUUUUUGAGAGGCACAAGACUUUUGGUGAGUGCUUCCAAAUAUCUGAUUGAACUUGAAACUUGGUUUCACUACUUGACUAAUGUGAUCGAAUGAUAUGUGAUUGGUAUGGUCGGACAAGAGUGUACUUUAUCGCACUUGCCAUAAUGUGAUAUGUACUCGUUUAUUAUUGCAAUUGACUUGAUAUACUUGUGCUUGACUUGUAAGUACUGAGCGGCAGUAUGUACCACACUCGAUCCGAGUGGGAGGUACCUCUCAUUUCCGUCUCCGUACUUUUAUCUUGAUUCAGUCGAUUGGAGAGGUUAUCUCAUCGAAUUCUUGGGGACCUAAACCCCAUUGGCUAGUUAAUCGAGUCAAGUCGGCAAGGGAUUGGUCGAUUAGAUAACAAACCAUGGGUAGUUAGUGAUGUCGAGUGGAGUGUUAUCUUCUCGACUAAUCGGUAUACUCGAGUAUUACCACCAGUGCUUAGUUGGUAUUUGGGCCCGGCAAGGGGGUUGAAUGGUGGACGGAUUGGAGUUAAACGAAAUACUACUGGAUUGGUUACUUUACGUGAAAGUUGACAGAGUGUCAACUGAUACUUGAUCAAGCUCUGGUGAAGCAACGAGAAUUUGGCUCUUGAGAGCCAUCUGUAUCCUUAUAUUUUGAUUGUUAUUCGUAGUGUUAUUGUUUCUUUUAGAAAAAGAAUUUUACACUCGUUCAUUUUGAGAUUGCUACUUGAAGUGUUAUCGCUCACUUUUAUGAACUCUUCAUAUUCGUUACUUUGCUACAUUGGAAACUUGUACGUAUAAAUAAUGGUCAAUUUGCUAUUUGGAACCUCACUGGAUUUUUAGUUCAUUCCACGCUAUUUGUUUUCCUUACAGGGGUACGAAUGAGGCGUGAGACGUGUAUAGACUAGCGUAGUCUAGUUGUUUUGACUUUUGUAAUUGUACUCACACUAGUCGCUCGAUUAGGGUUGAAUGUACUGAGAAUUUAAAUCUUUUGAAGUAUUUGGGACUGUAUGGAUGGUUGAGAUAGAAAUGAAUGUAUACGUGUGUUCCAAACUUGGGAACUAUUAUUUCGUUUAUUUUUUAGAGUGCAUCUUAGUUUAUUUGAUGUGAGUGAGUGAGUCCUGACGAGAGUUGGAUAAGCGGUCCGCUAAACCCUAGGGUACGCUCAGGGGAAGGUGGGGCCGUCACACAAAUCCAUUAAAGUAGGAAGAAAGAACCAGAAAAAAAAAACACCCAAAAAAAAGGAAAAAACAGAGAAAAGAAAAGCCCAAAAAGGGAGUCCGAGGAGUAGGAGCAAGGAGCUGCGCUGCUGGUGCUAUUGACGGAGUCCACGAUCACAGCCACCACUACCGUGGGUCAUAACUGGAAAAGCACUAUGAAACUUCGUUGCUCCAUAUGUUGUUUGAAUUUUUCUCUCACCUGUUUGAUAUUAUGUUCAAGAAUUUGGCUUCUUCGCUGUAUCGAUGAAUCUCCCUUCCCUUUAAAUUUCCCUUUUGCUUGUUGUCUAUGAUAUGAUUUGUCUAUGGUGGAAUGGGAUUUAGGUGGACUGACAUUCGUUAUUUGUGUAAGCGGCACCUCAAUUAGACCUAGAUUUGUAAAGUUUUGUUGCGCCAAUAAUGGCCCCAAAUGAGAAAUUGAGUUAUAUGGACAAAUUGAUGAAUCUGAGCAUGUGGGGGAGCAAUUCCGAUCAAUUGAAAGUUGAUCGGAGAUCGUGAACGAUGCCGGAAAACCAAGAGGGCCGAGAGAGAACGUUUGAUUUUUUUAAAAAUUAUUUUUAUUUUUAUGUUUUGCUGCAUUUUCUGAGCGGAUCUAGCUAUGUGAUAGUGUGAGAUGUUCGUGUGCAAGAGAGAGAGGAGCCACAGAGUUGUUGUCAUCGGAAGCCGGCGAACUUCAUGAGACGAGAGGAAACAGAGCAGCAACAGUUCUUCUGAAUUGAGGAAGAAGAUGAUGUAUUUCUGGAGAUUUACAAUUUCAGUCCCUAAAUUUCCCUUUCUUUGUGACUUAGCCCCAAUUUUUAGGACUUUAUAAUUUGUCCCCUGGAGCUUGCUUUAGGUAGUUUGGAUUAAGUUCCUAGAAGGGAAAAUCGUUCAAAACGUCCCUCACUUUUAAAAGUGUAAUUUUACGUCCCUUACAAAUUCAUAUUGAUCAAAUUUGGUCCCUACCUAGGUUUUUGACUAGUUUUUGGUCAGAAUUCACCACGUGACUUGCAUGUAAUCAUUUUUUAUAGGCAAAAUUGUCAAAUCAAAUGUUUACAUAAUCUGAUUCAUAGUUCCUAACAUUUUACAAAAUGAAUUUUUUCGUCCCUAACAUUUUACAAAAUGAAUUGUUUCGUUCCUCACAUUUCAAAAAAUGAAUUUUCCAUCCCUCAUAUUUUUCAAAAUGAAUUUUUUCAUCUCUGAUUGAUCAUGUGUAUGAAUAGUUUUUUUCUAUAAACCCACGUAUAUGUCUAUUUGAUUUUAUCUGAACAGUAUGAAUAACAUGUAAUUUAUUUCUAUUGGAUUUCAUCUAAACAUGCUAAUCGUAGUUAUACACAUGCUAUUCAAUAAAUAUAUAUAGGGGUUUAAAACUAAUAAUUUUGUUUGAACUCACGUAUAUAUUUAUAUAAUUUCACCAUUUGAACCUAUUCAAUAUUUGUGACAUUUCUCUUUUUGGUAAUAAUUUAUUUAUUGAAUUGUAUAAUAAGGUCAUCUAAUUAAUGAGUCAUAAGUCGAAUUCUAUAAUUGUGCUAAUAAAUUUCAGUUUAAAUAUGAAAUUUCUACUCGACACUUUUAAGACCAAUAAUUAAAUUACUUACCUUGUAAUUGUCUUAAAAUUUGAAAAUGCCAAUCACUUAUUUCUUUUUGUCAUACUUUUCUUUUGUUUAUUUUUUUUGUCCAAAUUUAAUUCGAUAUAACACUCGAUAAUAUUUAGGAUUAAAUGUCUUCCUUAUUUUCAAAUUUCGAGUAAAAGAAAAUGAAUAUAAGUGAAAAACUAAUAAUUUUUUUAAACCCAUGUAUAUAUCUAUUUGAUUUCAUUUGAGCAGUACGAAUAGUAUGUAAUAUAUCUCUAUUUGAUUUCACAUGUUAUUCGUACUGUUCAAGUGAAAUCAAAUAGAUAUAUACAUGAAUUUAAAAUAAAUUAUUCACACACAUGAUCAAUAAAAAAUGAAAAAAUUCAUUUUGAAAAAUGUGAAGGAUGAAAAAAUUCAUUUUGUGAAAUGUAAGGGACGAAAAAAUUUAUUUUAUGAAAUGUGAGGGAUUAUGAAUCGAAUUAUAUAAAAUUUGAUUUGAUAAUUUUGCCCUUAAAAUAUGAUCACGUGCAAGGCACGUGGUGAAUUCCGACAAAAAACUAGUCAAAAACCUAAGUAGGGACCAAAUUUGACCAAUGUGAAUUUGUAAGGGAUAUAAAAUUAUAUUUUUAAAAGUAAGGGAAGAAAAAAGUUAUUUUGUAAAAUGUGAGGGACGUUUUGAACGAUUUUCCCUUCCUAGAAUUGAACUAGUUAACUAUUAGUUUAAAUAGCAUUUCAAUUGGUCAAGUUGUAGUUAAUUUUAUUUUCUCUUUUUAGGAAUAAUGUAACCCUUAACCGGCAUAGGUGCUCGUAAUUUUUGUAUUCUUUUUCUUUUCUUUUCACUUAAUUACUUUUUAUUUUGUUAUUAUUGUGGAAUGAGAUCAUGUGGGCCGCAGGUGCGUUGUCGCUUGGCUUUUCCAAUUCCAAUGGAAGCUUUGGAAUUAAUCAUUCUGUUUUACUUCACUCUUAAGGUGCUGUACAUGUUUUUAUGUGUUUAGAUAUUAGUUAAUUACAUGUUAUGUGCUUAGCUUAAACUUAGUCAUUUUGGCCUUAAAAUUAAGAGAAUAAGAUUAAACUCGCAACCCAUUUUGCCGAACCGUCAAAAAAGGGGACCAGAGCAGUGAAUUUGGCCAGAAUUCCUAGAGCUUUGUAUAGUUAUAGAAGAAGAAAAUUAAAAACAAAAGAAGCAUUUUUCAGAAAAAACCCAAAUUCCUCCGUGAAACUAAUGCCACAAUUCUCAAGAAUUAUAGCAAUAAAAUAACAAAAAAAAGAUCGAUAGAAUCCUAGACUGGAGAAACCAAUUUUAUCAGAUUUUUUUGGGAAAAAAAUAAAAGAUAUUUAAGAUAAAACCCUAAAUAAGAAUCUCACCAAGGCACUUUGCCAGAGUUGGAGAUGGUUGCCGUCAGAAAUAAUUAUAUUGGUGGUGAUUUUUCAAUCUCUCCAAUCUCCAUCGCUCACUUUCUGUAUCUUUAGCCGCAAAUUCUUUCUUUGUUUUUGUUAGAAUGUGGGAGUAGCGAGCUCUAUUGUAAAGAGCCAUGCAUUUCAAUGAAGGAAAAUAACUUCAGUAACUCAAAGGAGGAAGUUAUUUUCCACCAAGUGAAGUUAUUUUCUUCAGUAACUCAAAAGAGCCGUGCGUUUCAAUGAAGAAAAAUAACUUCAGUAACUCAAAAGAGGAAAUUAUUUUCCACCAAGUGAAGUAAAAUAGUUUCUCCACAGAAAUUUUUUUUUCCAAGUUAAAUGAUUACCAAACACAGGAAAAUUUGGAAAACAUUUUGAGGAAAACAUUUUAUGUCCAAACAAACACACCCUGAGUGAUAAGUGAAUAGUUUAUCAUUUAUUUUUGGAAGUAAAUUUUGCCUAAAAAAUUCAAUGUCAUUUAAUUAAUUUAAAUGUUUAAUUUUUGGUUAUGAAACACGUGUGAACAUAUUAAAAUCUGAAACCAUUAAUUUUAAGUGAUAAAUUGGAUUAUUAAACAAGGCCUUAGUCAUAGUGUAGUAUCAAUUCAACGAUUCGUAAGUUUCACUUAUAAGAAUUUAUAAAGACAUGAUUUUUUUUGUGUGUUGGGGGAGGGGGAGGGGGGAGGGGGGAGGGGGGAUGUUAAAGAGGAGACUCCAGAUUUCGCAAAACAGUCUCAAGAUAUGUUCACGUGGGUAAAAAAGAUAACUCAAUUAAAUGGUUGAAAGACAAACUAAACUAUUUGAUACUCGAAUCAAAUUUGGUUUGGUAAGAGUUCAUUUUAACUUGAUUCGCUAAUUAAUCAAACCUACUAAAUAGCAUUUCAUGUUCGAUGAACUUUCAAAUUCGAUUCGAGCUUACUUUGAUUAACUUAAAAUUGGAUUUUUUAGGUAAAAAUUCAAACUAUUCAAACUUGACUCAAUAAAAGCUUGUUUAAAUUCGACUUAAAAAAUAAACAAACCAAAAUUGAACACCAAGGUGUUUGAUUUCAUUAAACUCAUUUACAGCCAUAUGGAUUGAACUUUUAAUAGGUGCAGCAUCAGUCCAAGCCACUCAAGACACUUGUUAACUGAGGUAUGGGUGCAACAUAAAAUUUCUGCUUUACCCUCUAAAAUUACUUUCUUUUAGUGUAUUCUAUUUCUACCCUCUCCACCCCCACACACCCCCCCUUCCCCCCAUCCCCCAAAUACAAAUUUAAAAUUGUAGUUUAUCUUUUGUAUUUCUCAUAUUCAAAACUCAACGCGGUAAUGGAUUCUGAUCUUGAAUUCAGCAAUAUGUAUCGAUCAUUCCAAUCAAUACCCCGGUCGAUUCAUCACCAUUUACGACAACAAAAAAGAUAUUGAGAAUCUUACUUCAAAACCUAUGACAAAAAUCAAAAUAUGCCAUUUCAAACUAUGGUAUCUAUAUUGGUAGCUAGGAAGAGAAUUACAACCAUCGCAACAGACAAUAGCCAAGGGAGGGAGUGUAAGGUAUAUCGGUGUGGAGAAGAUGUCCAGAUGAGAAUCACAACCAAACAAUAACCUUACCACUUUGGUGACAAACCAUUUGAUGAAUUAACUACAUAAUUGAACACUUCAAUCAAGCGAAUCAUAAAGGUCCUUCCUACUGUCAAUAUCUUAAAUUCUGCUAUUAUAUUUGAUCCCCGGAGACCAGAAGGCCAUUAAUUUGCUUGGCUCAGGCUUCCAACGUGUACAACGGUAUGGAAGAAUUUAGGCAUCCCUUUAAACCUUAGAUCCUUAAACAUUCGACUCUCAGGAUUGUAAGAAACUAGGGCUCCCCAUCUGUACUGCAGCAAAAUUUCGCCAUUUUUCAGAAGGCAAAGAACCCGGGCAAAUCGUUCAUCAAGUACAUUCUUCCAAAUCCUGUAUUUUUGCUGCAUUUCUGGUGACUGAAAUGUCGUCACAUAAUAAACCCCAAUGCUGAAAACUUUCUCCCAGGACUCUUUCACCCCGUAUUGUUUCAUAAUCCAAAUGUCUUGAGCCCCGUAAUUAGUAUUUGAAGGAUCAACAACAGCCAGAAAACCUCCGAGAACACUGAGAGAAUACCGGUGUCGGAUUAAGUAAAGAUGAUUUUCUGGCAGUGGGACUUCUCUAAAAAGCUCAUCAGAUAAAUCAAAUGACACCAGAAUCCGUUCCCGACGAGCAUGAUUCUUUCCCCAUAUACUCACCCAGUGAAGCCUUCCGUUUACAAAAACUCCCCCUGAUGACUGAUCUAGCUUGUAAGGUAUGUCUCCAAUAAUAACUCUCCAUUUUUCACUGCUCUGAUAGAAUACUUGAACCUCUGAUCUUGGAAAAUUUUGAGCCCUGAAUCUCAGCGAUCUGAGUGGAGAUAAUUCAUAUAAAUUCCAGUAGUAGACUAUCCUUACUACGCGAUAUUCAUUGGUAUGAGGAUGAACUCCGAAUCCUAUUAUCACUUCUUGGUCCUGGAAUUCAGUGGAUUUUGGUAACACUUUAUAGUCUCGGGUAAAGGGAUUAUAAACGUAUGGUCCAUCAUUGACCAAAGUACUCGACAAGCAUAGCAGGCCAUUACACGAGCUAACAAUUCGAAAUUCAGGCAAAGUACUAGAAAAGGGAGUAUGAAUUCUUCUGAGUACAUUUUUUUCAUGAUCUUGAUGAGAAAAUUCAACAAAAUAAAGCUGAUUGUUCACUGGAAAAUCACAAUGAAAGAUGAGGGCUAUGUCGUUGUUUUUUAAUGCUCUGGUGAGAUGCAAAUUAGCAAGAUCUUGAUCAAGUGACAACUUGUGGCAACUUCGACAAACAUACCUGAAUUGGAUGACGGAUUUUACGUGUAGUCUGGAAAUUAUGUCGAGGGCGAUUUCUUGAGGUAGACUAUAAAGAUUAUUUCCAGGCUGAUGAUGUUCUUUUGGAGUUGAUUUUCUUCUCUUGGAUUCUCUCUCAAUUUCCAUGUCGUCUUCCAUGAUGGUAGUAGAAAAUGUGAACGUUUCAAGGUUUGAGGUGGCGGCUAGACUGCUUUAGGUCACUUGGACUUAAUUAUAAGGGUUAAUUGCACUUACUUCCCUCGAGCUUUGUCCAUAUUACCAAACAAACCUUGUAGUUUGUCCAAAUAACAUUUACCCCCUUGUCAUUGACGGUUCAUAAACUCUGUUAACUGAUGUCACAAGAUGAUAAAAUUGCCCUUCAAAACAAAAACAAGAUUAUUGUUAUAAAAGAACUUAAUAUUUAGGCAUAAAAAAAAUGUCCAAAGGAGAAAUGAAGUAUCUUAGUAAGCAAAGCUAAAGAAAAAGAAAGAUAGUAACAUUAAGAGUAAAAAAUUUGCUGCAAAAAAAAUUAAGAAAAUGAAGAAAAAUACAUGUUGAGAGAUAUCAAACAGACAAAGAGUAACUAUGAAAAAAAAAGAAAGUAAAAUAUAAAUAAAUUAGCGACUGCCUAUUUAAUAAAUAAAAAAAAUAUAAUUGAGAGGGAUACUGAAGCAUCGAUCUUCUUUUGCCUUUAUCAACUCUCUCCACUAGCUCCCAACACAAUUUGCCUCCAUCUCUUUACCUCAACAGACACCCCCUUCUUCAUCUUCUCUGCUACUACACAUGCACACUAAGAGAUUAGCAGUUUGACACUCUCAAAUACACCUUUUGAAAGAAAAAGAUUGUAUUCCACUAGUAUCUAGCGAGAGACUGUAAGGAUUGGAAAGGCCAAAAUAGGAGAAAGUAAUUAUAAUUUAUGGACUCUAUCUUGGUGUUGGCAUAACAAGGUCUAGAUCAGUUUGAGACCUUAUGACGAUAAGUUUAUGCUUUCAGUUAUUGAUUUGAGUUUGUUGGUGGUUAAAUGUAAGGCUAUAAGUUAUGCAUAUUUUGUGAUGUUUUAUGGAGCUUUUCUUUUUUCUCCCCCUAUUUUUUCACCUUUAUCAUGGGAACUGAGUUUUUCUUUUUUCUUUUUUUUUUGUGCAAAGGUGAAAAUUUCUACGAGCCUAACAUUGAUUGUAAUUUUUGUGGGAGUUACUACUUUGAAGAUAUAAAGGUAUUUGAACCCCCAAAAAAAAAAAAAAGAUUCAAGUGAUGGACAUGGAAUUAUUGGCUGCCAGUAGUUGAAAUCUCAAACUAGUAUAGAGAAAGCAGGGAGAAGAAGACAAAGUAGGGUUUUGAGGUUAAUUUUGGACUUUCACGAAAAUUUCAUGUUGACAUCCUUCACUGUGUAUCAGUCAACGUUAGCAAUAUAACGAUAAGAGUUACUUGUUAUGCAUUAAACAGCCUGAGGGACCUUUUUGUAGUUUGUCCAAGCUUGAGGGUUUGAUUCGUAGUUUGGUUAAAUCUCAAGGGAGGUAAACGUAAUUAACUCUAAUUAUAAUGCUAGUAGGAAAAACUUGGGGGAGACGUUGAUUUGACUCAUUAAUUGGACCGUAAUCGGUGUUUUUUUUUUUGCUAUUUGUCGGUAUUGAAGUAUCAAGAGAAGGAGAGAGAAUACGCUUUGUUCAUGGAAUGAUGAUGCAAGGUUUGAUGCUAUUACGGAGUGUGGGAAUCCACAGCAUGGUGCUCUAUUUUAUUUCAGGAUUAAUUGCAACUUAGAUUCCUAUACUAUAUUGGGGCUAUACUUUUGCACCCUAAAAUUUUUGCAUCUUUUUAAAUUAGAGUUUUUCUAUUUGCAAUAAUGACUUUAAAAUUUGCUAAUUGCAAGUGUGUCUAUGAUAUGCUUCUUGAAAUGGUGAUUUUAUGUCCCUUUACCAACAACCUUUUGGUAAAAUAGUUCACUAUAUUGAUCUUUUACUAGGUCAUAUUCCAUUUUAUUGUUAGAGUUCAUCCAUUAUUUCUAUUUAGCAAGCAACUAAAAUUUGCAUCCUCUAUAUUCUAAAUGUCUUUACUUGGUUUUUGUGGGUUUUUCAUAGAGUGAAUAUAUGCAAAAAGAUAAAAGUAUUUUCUAAAAGAAAACAGUAUGAAGAUGUGGAACUAAAGUAUGGCCAUACUUGAGAAUUGGUUUCCUCUUCGCAAAACUACUGAAAUUUUGCCACAUUGCAUUUAUAACUUUUAACCUCCUUGUUAUUUGCAUUCAUAACUAUCGCUAAGAACCACACUACAUGGUAGGAGGCGUAAAAAAUGGAUGACUUAAGCAGGUUCGGAUAGGUUAUAAUUGAGUAAUGGAUAUAAUUGAAUCAACUCAUCUAUACCGAUUUAAUAAAUGAAUCAAAUGAGUCAACUCAUUUAUAUUCAUUCAAUAAAUGAGUAUGGGUAUAUAACUAAUUACUCAUUUAUGACCCACUUGAAUUUUUACUUGCUCUUUUUUUCUUGUUCUUUUGGAUGUUGUUUCAUAAGAAAUAACAAUAUUUUAUUAUUAUUGGAUUGAUAAGAAAUUCAAAUUUAUCCGUUUAACAUCCACCAAAGCUUGGGAUUAAAUAUCCAAUUAUUUUUAAAUGUAUAUAGAUGGUUUUGAGUCAAUCUAUUACCUACCAAUUAUUUUUAAUUGAGUUUAAUUGAGUCAUAAAUCUAAACCCUUUCAAAAUUCACUGCAUACCCAAAUUCACUUAUUAGUGGGCGAGUUUGGACAAGUCAAUAUUACAACUACUUUGAUACCUAUAGUACAAGGUGUGACUCCAUUAAAGUCACCAUACGGAUUAGCAAAUUUGAAGUUGCUGAUUGAAACAGCGACUUUAAAUGGAUAUUUCAAAUGGCAAAUUUUUUUUUUGGAAGGCUAAAACAUGCUGGACUUGUUUCGAAUUAUCAAUAAAUAGAGGAUUAUAUUGGUAAACGAUCCUUUUCGAAUGCACAGGGAUUGUCAUCAUUAUUGCUCUACUUAAAGAUCCAUUUUUCUUUUUGCCACACCUUUUUGGCUUUUUCUAAUGAUAGAUGUUGUAAGCAUCUUAUCUUUCUGGAUCAUAGCAAUUUUCCAAUACUUUUCAUGAUUAUCUUGGAGCGAAAAGAAGUAAGACGACUAGGAAAGAUGACAUGCGAAUCAUCCUCGUUAUAGAUACGCUAGCUGUUAUGUAAAACAAAGACUUGAUACUCCGUUAAUAACUACACUGAAUACACCAGUAAAUGUAUGAAUUAUAUCAUGUAUUAACUAAGCAAACUAACCAUCAACAAGAUCUCACUAUUUCUGAGAAGGCAAAGGACCUAAGCAAUCUAACCAUCAAAGUCAUUUAUUCUGUACAUAUGUUCAAGUUUUCCAGUUCAAUUGAGAUUCAUUAACAUCGAAGCGGCAUUUGCUCGGCUCAGGCUGCCAAUGUGCACAGUGAUAUGAAAGAAUUUAGGCAUUCCUGGGAACUUUAUGUCCUUAAACAUGCCAUUCUCAGGAUUGUAGGAAACUAGAGCUCCCCAUCUAUACUGCAACAAGAUCUCACCAUUGCUGAGAAGGCAAAGUACGUGAACAUAUCGUUGAUUAAUUACAUUCUUCCAGAUCCUGUAUGUUCGUCGCAUUUCUGGAGACCUAUAUCUCGUCACAUCAUAAGCCCCGAUGCUGAAAACUCUCUCCCAGGACUCUUUCACGCCAUACUCUUUCAUGAUCCAAAUGUCUUGAACCCAAUAAUUUGUAGACGAAGGAUGAACAAUAGACAGACACCCUCCCAGAACACUGAGAGAGUAUCUGUGCCUGAAUAGGUUGACAUCAUUUUCAGGCAAUGGAACUUCACUAAAAAUCUCAUUAGAUAAAUCAAAUGACACGAGAAUUCGGUCAGAUAACAAACCAUGGGUAGUUAGUGAUGUCGAGUGGAGUGUUAUCUUCUCGACUAAUCGGUAUACUCGAGUAUUACCACCAGUGCUUAGUUGGUAUUUGGGCCCGGCAAGGGGGUUGAAUGGUGGACGGAUUGGAGUUAAACGAAAUACUACUGGAUUGGUUACUUUACGUGAAAGUUGACAGAGUGUCAACUGAUACUUGAUCAAGCUCUGGUGAAGCAACGAGAAUUUGGCUCUUGAGAGCCAUCUGUAUCCUUAUAUUUUGAUUGUUAUUCGUAGUGUUAUUGUUUCUUUUAGAAAAAGAAUUUUACACUCGUUCAUUUUGAGAUUGCUACUUGAAGUGUUAUCGCUCACUUUUAUGAACUCUUCAUAUUCGUUACUUUGCUACAUUGGAAACUUGUACGUAUAAAUAAUGGUCAAUUUGCUAUUUGGAACCUCACUGGAUUUUUAGUUCAUUCCACGCUAUUUGUUUUCCUUACAGGGGUACGAAUGAGGCGUGAGACGUGUAUAGACUAGCGUAGUCUAGUUGUUUUGACUUUUGUAAUUGUACUCACACUAGUCGCUCGAUUAGGGUUGAAUGUACUGAGAAUUUAAAUCUUUUGAAGUAUUUGGGACUGUAUGGAUGGUUGAGAUAGAAAUGAAUGUAUACGUGUGUUCCAAACUUGGGAACUAUUAUUUCGUUUAUUUUUUAGAGUGCAUCUUAGUUUAUUUGAUGUGAGUGAGUGAGUCCUGACGAGAGUUGGAUAAGCGGUCCGCUAAACCCUAGGGUACGCUCAGGGGAAGGUGGGGCGUCACACAAAUCCAUUAAAGUAGGAAGAAAGAACCAGAAAAAAAAAACACCCAAAAAAAAGGAAAAAACAGAGAAAAGAAAAGCCCAAAAAGGGAGUCCGAGGAGUAGGAGCAAGGAGCUGCGCUGCUGGUGCUAUUGACGGAGUCCACGAUCACAGCCACCACUACCGUGGGUCAUAACUGGAAAAGCACUAUGAAACUUCGUUGCUCCAUAUGUUGUUUGAAUUUUUCUCUCACCUGUUUGAUAUUAUGUUCAAGAAUUUGGCUUCUUCGCUGUAUCGAUGAAUCUCCCUUCCUUUAAAUUUCCCUUUUGCUUGUUGUCUAUGAUAUGAUUUGUCUAUGGUGGAAUGGGAUUUAGGUGGACUGACAUUCGUUAUUUGUGUAAGCGGCACCUCAAUUAGACCUAGAUUUGUAAAGUUUUGUUGCGCCAAUAAUGGCCCCAAAUGAGAAAUUGAGUUAUAUGGACAAAUUGAUGAAUCUGAGCAUGUGGGGGAGCAAUUCCGAUCAAUUGAAAGUUGAUCGGAGAUCGUGAACGAUGCCGGAAAACCAAGAGGGCCGAGAGAGAACGUUUGAUUUUUUUAAAAAUUAUUUUUAUUUUUAUGUUUUGCUGCAUUUUCUGAGCGGAUCUAGCUAUGUGAUAGUGUGAGAUGUUCGUGUGCAAGAGAGAGAGGAGCCACAGAGUUGUUGUCAUCGGAAGCCGGCGAACUUCAUGAGACGAGAGGAAACAGAGCAGCAACAGUUCUUCUGAAUUGAGGAAGAAGAUGAUGUAUUUCUGGAGAUUUACAAUUUCAGUCCCUAAAUUUCCCUUUCUUUGUGACUUAGCCCCAAUUUUUAGGACUUUAUAAUUUGUCCCCUGGAGCUUGCUUUAGGUAGUUUGGAUUAAGUUCCUAGAAGGGAAAAUCGUUCAAAACGUCCCUCACUUUUAAAAGUGUAAUUUUACGUCCCUUACAAAUUCAUAUUGAUCAAAUUUGGUCCCUACCUAGGUUUUUGACUAGUUUUUGGUCAGAAUUCACCACGUGACUUGCAUGUAAUCAUUUUUUAUAGGCAAAAUUGUCAAAUCAAAUGUUUACAUAAUCUGAUUCAUAGUUCCUAACAUUUUACAAAAUGAAUUUUUUCGUCCCUAACAUUUUACAAAAUGAAUUGUUUCGUUCCUCACAUUUCAAAAAAUGAAUUUUCCAUCCCUCAUAUUUUUCAAAAUGAAUUUUUUCAUCUCUGAUUGAUCAUGUGUAUGAAUAGUUUUUUUCUAUAAACCCACGUAUAUGUCUAUUUGAUUUUAUCUGAACAGUAUGAAUAACAUGUAAUUUAUUUCUAUUGGAUUUCAUCUAAACAUGCUAAUCGUAGUUAUACACAUGCUAUUCAAUAAAUAUAUAUAGGGGUUUAAAACUAAUAAUUUUGUUUGAACUCACGUAUAUAUUUAUAUAAUUUCACCAUUUGAACCUAUUCAAUAUUUGUGACAUUUCUCUUUUGGUAAUAAUUUAUUUAUUGAAUUGUAUAAUAAGGUCAUCUAAUUAAUGAGUCAUAAGUCGAAUUCUAUAAUUGUGCUAAUAAAUUUCAGUUUAAAUAUGAAAUUUCUACUCGACACUUUUAAGACCAAUAAUUAAAUUACUUACCUUGUAAUUGUCUUAAAAUUUGAAAAUGCCAAUCACUUAUUUCUUUUUGUCAUACUUUUCUUUUGUUUAUUUUUUUUGUCCAAAUUUAAUUCGAUAUAACACUCGAUAAUAUUUAGGAUUAAAUGUCUUCCUUAUUUUCAAAUUUCGAGUAAAAGAAAAUGAAUAUAAGUGAAAAACUAAUAAUUUUUUUAAACCCAUGUAUAUAUCUAUUUGAUUUCAUUUGAGCAGUACGAAUAGUAUGUAAUAUAUCUCUAUUUGAUUUCACAUGUUAUUCGUACUGUUCAAGUGAAAUCAAAUAGAUAUAUACAUGAAUUUAAAAUAAAUUAUUCACACACAUGAUCAAUAAAAAAUGAAAAAAUUCAUUUUGAAAAAUGUGAAGGAUGAAAAAAUUCAUUUUGUGAAAUGUAAGGGACGAAAAAAUUUAUUUUAUGAAAUGUGAGGGAUUAUGAAUCGAAUUAUAUAAAAUUUGAUUUGAUAAUUUUGCCCUUAAAAUAUGAUCACGUGCAAGGCACGUGGUGAAUUCCGACAAAAAACUAGUCAAAAACCUAAGUAGGGACCAAAUUUGACCAAUGUGAAUUUGUAAGGGAUAUAAAAUUAUAUUUUUAAAAGUAAGGGAAGAAAAAAGUUAUUUUGUAAAAUGUGAGGGACGUUUUGAACGAUUUUCCCUUCCUAGAAUUGAACUAGUUAACUAUUAGUUUAAAUAGCAUUUCAAUUGGUCAAGUUGUAGUUAAUUUUAUUUUCUCUUUUUAGGAAUAAUGUAACCCUUAACCGGCAUAGGUGCUCGUAAUUUUUGUAUUCUUUUUCUUUUCUUUUCACUUAAUUACUUUUUAUUUUGUUAUUAUUGUGGAAUGAGAUCAUGUGGGCCGCAGGUGCGUUGUCGCUUGGCUUUUCCAAUUCCAAUGGAAGCUUUGGAAUUAAUCAUUCUGUUUUACUUCACUCUUAAGGUGCUGUACAUGUUUUUAUGUGUUUAGAUAUUAGUUAAUUACAUGUUAUGUGCUUAGCUUAAACUUAGUCAUUUUGGCCUUAAAAUUAAGAGAAUAAGAUUAAACUCGCAACCCAUUUUGCCGAACCGUCAAAAAAGGGACCAGAGCAGUGAAUUUGGCCAGAAUUCCUAGAGCUUUGUAUAGUUAUAGAAGAAGAAAAUUAAAAACAAAAGAAGCAUUUUUCAGAAAAAACCCAAAUUCCUCCGUGAAACUAAUGCCACAAUUCUCAAGAAUUAUAGCAAUAAAAUAACAAAAAAAGAUCGAUAGAAUCCUAGACUGGAGAAACCAAUUUUAUCAGAUUUUUUUGGGAAAAAAAUAAAAGAUAUUUAAGAUAAAACCCUAAAUAAGAAUCUCACCAAGGCACUUUGCCAGAGUUGGAGAUGGUUGCCGUCAGAAAUAAUUAUAUUGGUGGUGAUUUUUCAAUCUCUCCAAUCUCCAUCGCUCACUUUCUGUAUCUUUAGCCGCAAAUUCUUUCUUUGUUUUUGUUAGAAUGUGGGAGUAGCGAGCUCUAUUGUAAAGAGCCAUGCAUUUCAAUGAAGGAAAAUAACUUCAGUAACUCAAAGGAGGAAGUUAUUUUCCACCAAGUGAAGUUAUUUUCUUCAGUAACUCAAAAGAGCCGUGCGUUUCAAUGAAGAAAAAUAACUUCAGUAACUCAAAAGAGGAAAUUAUUUUCCACCAAGUGAAGUAAAAUAGUUUCUCCACAGAAAUUUUUUUUUCCAAGUUAAAUGAUUACCAAACACAGGAAAAUUUGGAAAACAUUUUGAGGAAAACAUUUUAUGUCCAAACAAACACACCUGAGUGAUAAGUGAAUAGUUUAUCAUUUAUUUUUGGAAGUAAAUUUUGCCUAAAAAAUUCAAUGUCAUUUAAUUAAUUUAAAUGUUUAAUUUUUGGUUAUGAAACACGUGUGAACAUAUUAAAAUCUGAAACCAUUAAUUUUAAGUGAUAAAUUGGAUUAUUAAACAAGGCCUUAGUCAUAGUGUAGUAUCAAUUCAACGAUUCGUAAGUUUCACUUAUAAGAAUUUAUAAAGACAUGAUUUUUUUUGUGUGUUGGGGAGGGGAGGGGGGAGGGGGGAGGGGGAUGUUAAAGAGGAGACUCCAGAUUUCGCAAAACAGUCUCAAGAUAUGUUCACGUGGGUAAAAAAGAUAACUCAAUUAAAUGGUUGAAAGACAAACUAAACUAUUUGAUACUCGAAUCAAAUUUGGUUUGGUAAGAGUUCAUUUUAACUUGAUUCGCUAAUUAAUCAAACCUACUAAAUAGCAUUUCAUGUUCGAUGAACUUUCAAAUUCGAUUCGAGCUUACUUUGAUUAACUUAAAAUUGGAUUUUUUAGGUAAAAAUUCAAACUAUUCAAACUUGACUCAAUAAAAGCUUGUUUAAAUUCGACUUAAAAAAUAAACAAACCAAAAUUGAACACCAAGGUGUUUGAUUUCAUUAAACUCAUUUACAGCCAUAUGGAUUGAACUUUUAAUAGGUGCAGCAUCAGUCCAAGCCACUCAAGACACUUGUUAACUGAGGUAUGGGUGCAACAUAAAAUUUCUCUUUACCCUCUAAAAUUACUUUCUUUUAGUGUAUUCUAUUUCUACCCUCUCCAACCCCACACCCCCCCCUUCCCCCAUCCCCCAAACACAAAUUUAAAAUUGCAGUUUAUCUUUUGUAUUUCUCAUAUUCAAAACUCCUCAACGCGGUAAUGGAUUCUGAUCUUGAAUUCAGCAAUAUGUAUCGAUCAUUCCAAUCAAUACCCCGGUCGAUUCAUCACCAUUUACGACAACAAAAAAGAUAUUGAGAAUCUUACUUCAAAACCUAUGACAAAAAUCAAAAUAUGCCAUUUCAAACUAUGGUAUCUAUAUUGGUAGCUAGGAAGAGAAUUACACCAUCGCAACAGACAAUAGCCAGGGAGGGAGAGUAAGGUAUAUCGGUGUGGAGAAGAUGUCCAGAUGAGAAUCACAACCAACAAUAACCUUACCACUUUGGUGACAAACCAUUUGAUGAAUUAACUACAUAAUUGAACACUUCAAUCAAGCGAAUCAUAAAGGUCCUUCCUACUGUCAAUAUCUUAAAUUCUGCUAUUAUAUUUGAUCCCCGGAGACCAGAAGGCCAUUAAUUUGCUUGGCUCAGGCUUCCAACGUGUACAACGGUAUGGAAGAAUUUAGGCAUCCCUUUAAACCUUAGAUCCUUAAACAUUCGACUCUCAGGAUUGUAAGAAACUAGGGCUCCCCAUCUGUACUGCAGCAAAAUUUCGCCAUUUUUCAGAAGGCAAAGAACCCGGGCAAAUCGUUCAUCAAGUACAUUCUUCCAAAUCCUGUAUUUUUGCUGCAUUUCUGGUGACUGAAAUGUCGUCACAUAAUAAACCCCAACGCUGAAAACUUUCUCCCAGGACUCUUUCACCCCGUAUUGUUUCAUAAUCCAAAUGUCUUGAGCCCCGUAAUUAGUAUUUGAAGGAUCAACAACAGACAGAAAACCUCCGAGAACACUGAGAGAAUACCGGUGUCGGAUUAAGUAAAGAUGAUUUUCUGGCAGUGGGACUUCUCUAAAAAGCUCAUCAGAUAAAUCAAAUGACACCAGAUCCGUUCCCGACGAGCAUGAUUCUUUCCCCAUAUACUCACCCAGUGAAGCCUUCCGUUUACAAAAACUCCCCCUGAUGACUGAUCUAGCUUGUAAGGUAUGUCUCCAAUAAUAACUCUCCAUUUUUCACUGCUCUGAUAGAAUACUUGAACCUCUGAUCUUGGAAAAUUUUGAGCCCUGAAUCUCAGCGAUCUGAGUGGAGAUAAUUCAUAUAAAUUCCAGUAGUAGACUAUCCUUACUACGCGAUAUUCAUUGGUAUGAGGAUGAACUCCGAAUCCUAUUAUCACUUCUUGGUCCUGGAAUUCAGUGGAUUUUGGUAACACUUUAUAGUCUCGGGUGAAGGGAUUAUAAACGUAUGGUCCAUCAUUGACCAAAGUACUCGACAAGCAUAGCAGGCCAUUACACGAGCUAACAAUUCGAAAUUCAGGCAAAGUACUAGAAAAGGGAGUAUGAAUUCUUCUGAGUACAUUUUUUUCAUGAUCUUGAUGAGAAAAUUCAACAAAAUAAAGCUGAUUGUUCAAUGGAAAAUCACAAUGAAAGAUGAGGGCUAUGUCGUUGUUUUUUAAUGCUCUGGUGAGAUGCAAAUUAGCAAGAUCUGAUCAAGUGACAACUUGUGGCAACUUCGACAAACAUACCUGAAUUGGAUGACGGAUUUUACGUGUAGUCUGGAAAUUAUGUCGAGGGCGAUUUCUUGAGGUAGACUAUAAAGAUUAUUUCCAGGCUGAUGAUGUUCUUUUGGAGUUGAUUUUCUUCUCUUGGAUUCUCUCUCAAUUUCCAUGUCUUCCAUGAUGGUAGUAGAAAAUGUGAACGUUUCAAGGUUUGAGGUGGCGGCUAGACUGCUUUAGGCUUGGACUUAAUUAUAAGGUUUAAUUGCACUUACUUCCCUCGAGCUUUGUCCAUAUUACCAAACAACCUUGUAGUUUGUCCAAAUAACAUUUACCCCCUUGUCAUUGACGGUUCAUAAACUCUGUUAACUGAUGUCACAAGAUGAUAAAAUUGCCCUUCAAAACAAAAACAAGAUUAUUGUUAUAAAAGAACUUAAUAUUUAGGCAUAAAAAAAAUGUCCAAAGGAGAAAUGAAGUAUCUUAGUAAGCAAAGCUAAAGAAAAGAAAGAUAGUAACAUUAAGAGUAAAAAAUUUGCUGCAAAAAAAAAAAGAAAAUGAAGAAAAAUACAUGUUGAGAGAUAUCAAACAGACAAAGAGUAACUAUGAAAAAAAAAGAAAGUAAAAUAUAAAUAAAUUAGCGACUGCCUAUUUAAUAAAUAAAAAAAAGAUAAUUGAGAGGGAUACUGAAGCAUCGAUCUUCUUUUCCUUUAUCACUCUCUCCGCUAGCUCCCAACACAAUUUGCCUCCAUCUCUUUACCUCAACAGACACCCCCUUCUUCAUCUUCUCUGCUACUACACAUGCACACUAAGAGAUUAGCAGUUUGCACUCUCAAAUGCACCUUUUGAAGAAAAGAUUGUAUUCCAGUAGCAUCUAGCGAGAGAUUAAGGAUUGGAAAGGCCAAAAUAGGAGAAAGUAAUUGUAAUUUAUGGACUCUAUCUUGGUGUUGGCAUAACGAGGUUCUAGAUCAGUUUGAGACCUUAUGACGAUAAGUUUAUGCUUUCAGUUAUUGAUUUGAGUUUGUUGGUGGUUAAAUGUAAGGCUAUAAGUUAUGCAUAUUUUGUGAUGUUUUAUGGAGCUUUUCUUUUUUCUCCCCCUAUUUUUUCACCUUAUCAUGGAACUGAGUUUUUCUUUUUUCUUUUUUUUUGUGCAAAGGUGAAAAUUUCUACGAGUCUAACAUUGAUUGUAAUUUUGUGGGAGUUACUACUUUGAAGAAAUAAAGGUAUUUGAACCCCCAAAAAAAAAAAGAUUCAAGUGAUGGACAUGGAAUUAUUGGCUGCCAGUAGUUGAAAUCUCAAACUAGUAUAGAGAAAGCAGGGAGAAGAAGACAAAGUAGGGUUUUGAGGUUAAUUUUGGACUUUCACGAAAAUUUCAUGUUGACAUCCUUCACUGUGUAUCAGUCAACGUUAGCAAUAUAACGAUAAGAGUUACUUGUUAUGCAUUACAGCCUGAGGGACCUUUUUGUAGUUUGUCCAAGCUUGAGGGUUGAUUCGUAGUUUGGUUAAAUCUCAAUUGAGGUGAACAUAAUUAACUCUAAUUAUAAUGCUAGUAGGAAAAACUUGGGGGAGACGUUGAUUUGACUCAUUAAUUGGACCGUAAUCGGUGUUUUUUUUUUUGCUAUUUGUCGGUAUUGAAGUAUCAAGAGAAGGAGAGAGAAUGCUUUGUUCAUGAAUGAUGAUGCGAGGUUUGAUGCUAUUACGGAGUGUGGGAAUCCACAGAUGGUGCUCUAUUUUACUUUAAGAUUAAUUGCAACUUAGAUUCCUAACUAUAUUGGGCUAUACUUUUGCACCCUAAAAUUUUUGCAUCUUUUAAAUUAGAGUUUUUCUAUUUGCAAUAAUGACUUUAAAAUUUGCUAAUUGCAAGUGUGUCUAUGAUAUGCUUCUUGAAAUGGUGAUUUUAUGUCCCUUUACCAACAACCUUUUGGUAAAAUAGUUCACUAUAUUGAUCUUUACUAGGUCAUAUUCCAUUUUAUUGUUAGAGUUCAUCCAUUAUUUCUAUUUAGCAAGCAACUAAAAUUUGCAUCCUCUAUAUUCUAAAUGUCUUUACUUGGUUUUUGUGGGUUUCAUAGAGUGAAUAUAUGCAAAAAGAUAAAAGUAUUUUCUAAAAGAAAACACUAUGAAGAUGUGGAACUAAAGUAUGGCCAUACUUGAGAAUUGGUUUCCUCUUCGCAAAACUACUGAAAUUUUGCCACAUUGCAUUUAUAAAUUUUAACCUCCUUGUUAUUUGCAUCAUAACUAUCGCUAAGAACCACACUACAUGGUAGGAGGCGUAAAAAAUGAUGACUUAAGCAGGUUCGGAUAGGUUAUAAUUGAGUAAUGGAUAUAAUUGAAUCAACUCAUCUAUACCGAUUUAAUAAAUGAAUCAAAUGAGUCAACUCAUUUAUAUUCAUUCAAUAAAUGAGUAUGGUAUAUAACUAAUUACUCAUUUAUGACCACUUGAAUUUUUACUUGCUCUUUUUUCUUGUUCUUUUGGAUGUUGUUUCAUAAGAAAUAACAAUAUUUUAUUAUUAUUGGAUUGAUAAGAAAUUCAAAUUUAUCCGUUUAACAUCCACCAAAGCUUGGGAUUAAAUAUCCAAUUAUUUUUAAAUGUAUAUAGAUGGUUUUGAGUCAAUCUAUUACCUACCAAUUAUUUUUUAAUUGAGUUUAAUUGAGUCAUAAAUCUAAACCCUUUCAAAAUUCACUGCAUACCCAAAUUCACUUAUUAGUGGGCGAGUUUGGACAAGUCAAUAUUACAACUACUUUGAUACCUAUAGUACAAGGUGUGACUCCAUUAAAAGUCACCAUACGGAUUAGCAAAUUUGAAGUUGCUGAUUGAAACAGCGACUUUAAAUGGAUAUUUCAAAUGGCAAUUUUUUUUUUGGAAGGCUAAAACAUGCUGGACUUGUUUCGAAUUAUCAAUAAAUAGAGGAUUAUAUUGGUAAACGAUCCUUUUCGAAUGCACAGGGAUUGUCAUCAUUAUUGCUCUACUUAAAGAUCCAUUUUUCUUUUUGCCACACCUUUUUGGCUUUUUCUAAUGAUAGAUGUUGUAAGCAUCUUAUCUUUCUGGAUCAUAGCAAUUUUCCAAUACUUUCAUGAUUAUCUUGGAGCGAAAGAAGUAAGACGACUAGGAAAGAUGACAUGCGAAUCAUCCUCGUUAUAGAUACGCUAGCUUAUGUAAAACAAAGACUUGAUACUCCGUUAAUAACUACACUGAAUACACCAGUAAAUGUAUGAAUUAUAUCAUGUAUUAACUAAGCAAACUAACCAUCAACAAGAUCUCACUAUUUCUGAGAAGGCAAAGGACCUAAGCAAUCUAACCAUCAAAGUCAUUUAUUCUGUACAUAUGUUCAAGUUUUCCAGUUCAAUUGAGAUUCAUUAACAUCGAAGCGGCAUUUGCUCGGCUCAGGCUGCCAAUGUGCACAGUGAUAUGAAAGAAUUUAGGCAUUCCUGGGAACUUUAUGUCCUUAAACAUGCCAUUCUCAGGAUUGUAGGAAACUAGAGCUCCCCAUCUAUACUGCAACAAGAUCUCACCAUUGCUGAGAAGGCAAAGUACGUGAACAUAUCGUUGAUUAAUUACAUUCUUCCAGAUCCUGUAUGUUCGUCGCAUUUCUGGAGACCUAUAUCUCGUCACAUCAUAAGCCCCGAUGCUGAAAACUCUCUCCCAGGACUCUUUCACGCCAUACUCUUUCAUGAUCCAAAUGUCUUGAACCCAAUAAUUUGUAGACGAAGGAUGAACAAUAGACAGACACCCUCCCAGAACACUGAGAGAGUAUCUGUGCCUGAAUAGGUUGACAUCAUUUUCAGGCAAUGGAACUUCACUAAAAAUCUCAUUAGAUAAAUCAAAUGACACGAGAAUUCGGUCACGUCGACAGUGAUUCUUGCCCCAUAGACUUACCCAAUGAAGCUUUCCAUUGACAAAAUACCCCUCCUGAUGAUUGAUCUAGUUUAUAAGGUAUGUCUCCGAUAACCUCCACUUUUCACUGCCCUGGCAAAAUAUUUGAACUUCUGAUCCUGGAAAAUUCCGAUACCUGAACCUUCGCGACAUACGUGGAGUAAUUCAUACAAAUUCCAAUAAUAGACUAUCCUUAUUACACGAUAUUCAUUGGUAUUAGGAUGGAAUCCAAAUCCUAAUACAACAUCUUGGUCCUGGAAUUCAGUGGAUUUUGGUAGCACUUUAUAAUCUCCCGCUAAAAGGAUUAUAAACAUAUGGUCCAUCAUGAAACAAAGAGUUGGACAAACAAAGUAGGCCAUUGCAAGAGCUAACGACUUGAAAUUCAGGCAUGAAGGUGGAAAAAGGAGUCUGAAUUUUUCUUAAUACAUCUUUGUCAGGAUUCUGAUCAGCAAAUUCAACAAAAUAAAGUUGAUUGUUUACAGGAUAAUCGCAAUGAAAGAUCAGAGAUAUGUCCUUGUUUUCUAAUGCACGCGUGAGAUGCAAAUUAACAAGAUCAAGAUCAUGUGACAACUUGUUCCAACUUCGGCAAACAAACCUGAAUUGGAUGACGGACUUUAUGUAUAGUCUGGAAAUUAUGUCGAGAGCAACUUCUUGAGGUAGAUUUUCAAAACAAUUUCCUGGUCCUGGGUGAUGAUGCUCAUCAUUUGAAGUUGAUUUCCUUCUCUUGCUUUCUCUCUCAAUUUCCAUGUCUUCCAUGACAAAUGUGAACAUGUCAAGGGUUGAGUUCAUGGCUAGACUGCUUAAAGUCGCAGGACGGAAUGUGUGUGUGUGUGUGUAGGUCCGACGUAUUAAUUGGACUCUAGCUGGCGUCUUUUUUCAAAUGGGGCGGAGAUAUCCAGAGAAAGAAAGAAUAUGCUUUGUUUCACGAAGGUUGAUGCAAGCACGGCAGGGCCUAAUAAAAUUGAGUUCACACAUGUUAGCAUUCAUGUAUGAAUUGAUAUGCCCAAAGUAUAAAUAGUCACUCAUAAAUAUACACUUAUGCACAAAUAAAAAUAAAAUGAGGAUUUUAUGUUUUCUUUCAGGGAUAAUUUCAGGAACCUCCCUUGAGGUUUAAUGACAAUUUUACCUAACACCCCUAUUAUUUUGAAUAUUGCUGAUACCGGAUUUGGGUAACAAAAAUCAAAUUAAAUACCCAAUCUACCCUUUUGCUAAAAAAAGAGAAGAAGAAAACAAACUACUCUAACGCUUUCAUUUUAAGUGUCAAAACCAGUACUGCUAAUACUUUUGCCACUACCAACACCAUAAGACCACUAAUGCUAAUACUUUUGCCACCAUAAUGGCCACAAGUAAAAUCAUUCAAAAUGUGUCUCACAUUUUCCCAAAUGUUUUUUUUUUUUAUUUUUAAAAUAGUAACAUUAUGUCCCAUAUAAAAUUGAAUCGAUAAAAUUUGGUCUCAACUUAAAUUUUUGAUUAUUUUUUACCUUGAAUCUAUCACAUGAUCCACACAUAAUUAUUUUUUAAUGCAAAAAAGUUAGAUUCCAUUUGUAGUUAAACAAAUGACUUGAUUCAUAUUCAUUUUUCCCGUAAAAAGUAUGAUAUUGACUUGAACUAUAUUCAUUUUUUCCCCAAAAAAAUAAGAUUUGACCCAAUCCAUAUUCAUGUUUUACUACUAAAAGAGUGGACUUUGACAUUUUGUACACAAAAAAUGAUCACAUGUGAAUCACGUGAUCAUUUUAGGCUAACAAGUGAUCGAAAACUUAGGUUGGUACCAAAUUUUGCUAAUUUGAAUUUGUACGAACGUAAAGUUAACAUUUUAAAGGUGAAGGAGGAAAAAAUUCAUUUGGCAAAAUGUGAGAAAAGUUUUGAAUGAUGUUCCCUAAUCACACAAAUUACUAGCUACCAAAAGGGGCUAUUAGAGUUUUUCUUGCUAUCAGAUCUUGGAUUCGAAUUUUACGCUUGGCAAUUGGGGUGUGGAGGGUAUUGGGAAGGUGGGAAGGUUUAAAAAAAACCAGCUAAAAAAUAUAAAUGAAAAAGAACAAAAUGUGAUUAAUAAAUAUAUAAAGUGGUUCCAUAGACUUUUUAUUUUAAAGCAAGAAUUAACAUUUUCAUUGAUUCAAAAAAAUGAUUACGCAAUGAUGCAAAAUGGCUUAAAGUACAUCAAGGAUCACUGUAACAAGGCACAAAAAAGAAAGAAAGAAACAUAAAAAGCUUGAAAAGAAUGUGACUUGCGUCGUGUUUCCUUCUUCUUCAAUUAUGUUAGGUACAAACUUUGAAUGUAUGAGCAUUUUCAAAGUGAUAUGUUAUUUAUAUCUUUAUUUUAUCCCUUGUACAUUACUAGCGAAUGAAUUACAUUGCUUGAGUUCAUUUAGGGUCUAGGACUAGUUAAAGUUACUACAUAUUUUUAAGUAGCUAGGGAUUUGAAGCGAAGUUCAUUUUAAUGGCUUUAAGGUACAAGAUAAGUACAUGAAAAAUAAUGAGUUUAUUGAUAGGUAUGAAAUAGGUGUUUUUCAGUGUGUUGUUCACUGUAUAAUUGUAUUUUCGGGUGUUUUUAAAAAUUUAAAACUUUUUUUAAGGAUAUUUUUACAAUUUUUACUAUUUCCCAAUUCUCUUCUCCCUCUCUUCCUCUUAAGGAAAAACACGGGGAAGGGAGGGGAUGGGGAAAACAGAGAGGAACAAAGGAAAAUGGAUGGUAAGGGAGGCAGGAGGAGAAGGAGAGAUGGUAGGACUAAGGGUAGUGGUGGCAGGAGGUGAGAGGUGAUGGUGGAGGAAGAAAGGGUAGGUCUCUUAUUUGGUAUGUAAAUUGAGUUUUAAGUUAAGGCUAGUAUCCUCAUUUCCUAAAAACAAGGAAAACAAGUGUAAUAUUUAAAAUAAGAGGAAUGCUAAGCGAAAUUGUUAUAAAAGCCCAAGGGUGGUUUAUGAAAUUAUCCCUUUCUUUUGUGGUUUUUCUUAGGUAAUAUACAGGAAAAAUCUCCUGCAAUUAAGUAAAUCUACAAAAAAAGCCUCAUAUAGUUUCAAAAUAUAUAUUUCAGUACCCGUGAUAUGACUAAUUUAAAAAAGAGUGAAAAUCAUUUGAAUUAAUUAGUUUGAAAUACACGCUUCUCUUUUGCAAGCAUUUAUACUAGAAACACUCAAAUUUUCAGUAGAUAUACCUAUUGUACACUUAGAAUUAUAUUUAGAAAAGUCUCCUGUGGUUUGAAAAAACCCUCUAUGGUUUGAAGUCCCCUGCCAUUCAGCAAACCUAUAGAAAAAACUCCUUAUGAUAUUUCAAAUCAUACAAUUUGGUACUUCAUGGUUUGAACUAAUGUGAAAUAUCGAUAAAAAUCAUUUAAAUUAAUGAGUCUGAGUGUGCUUGAACUAGGAAAUAACUUUUAAAAUCAAAUUUUUAGCUAAUAUCAUAUUAAAUCCCUUAGAGCUCAUAAAAUUCUCAAAAACAAUCCAAAACUCCCAAACACAAUUUACCUCAUUUCUAUACAUAAAAUAAAUAAAUAAAUAAUCCCAAAUACAAGUCAACUUAUUCUACACACAAAAUAGAUAAAUAAAAAAUGCCCAAAUAUAGCUCAACUAAUUUGCAUACACAAGAUAAAUAAUAAAUAUAAAUAUACCACCCUCAUCUCUUCCUCCACCAUCACUGUUCACCUUCCACCGCCAUCCUCCCUUCUAUCACAACACCUUCCUCCCCCCUCUUCUCCUCUCCCUUGCAUCCCGCUCCCUCUCGUCUCCUCCCAGCCAUUUCUACUUCUCCGAACUCUCUCUCGUUUCAGCGACCAUAGCUAGCCAUGGGAGAGAGGGAACCGGGUGCAGGGAAGGGAUCACGACCAGAUUGCCCCUUUCUCGCACCCCAUGCCCUCCCUCCUAUGAUAAUUUUGGUCAUGGGAAGCAGGUGAAGAGAUGCGAAAAAGGGGACUGCAACGGGAGGGAAUAGGGGGUGCAGGGGAAGGAAAGAAAGAGAAAGAGAGAGGAGGAAAAAGGAGACGGAUAGGGAUGUGGUAGAGGGGAGGGUGGCCAUAGAAGGUGGAGAAGCAAUUGGUAAUCAUAAGGGAUUUUUCCGUAGGUUGGAUUAACUAACCACAAGGGUUUUUUCAUAGGUUUGCUUAACUAGGAUGUUUGUUAGAAGGUUUUUUUUUUGCUUAUAUAUAUACAUAUAUAUAUAUAUAUAUAUAUAUAUAUAUAUGUAUAUAUAUAUAAAAGAAAUUGUGUUAUUUUCCUCCGCUUCUAUUAGUUAUGAUAAUUUUAUUGCUGUUUCAAAUUAGUUCAAACCACGAUGAGUUGGAGUAUAUGAUUUAAAAUCAUAGGAGCUUUUUCAUAGAUUAGCUUAAUAAGAGUGAUUUAUUUUGUAUUUUACACUUCUUCUUAAGCAUCGAUUCUUCGCAUGUCUAAUCUCGACCAUUAACUUUUUGACCAAUCAUUCUUCCUCUUUAUUCUAGGUAGAUUAUAAUGUUACGAAGGAUAGGUAGUCUAUAGUGUUGGACUCCACUUUAAUUCAACAGUGUCCGGGGCCAUUUAUUUAAUUCUUACGGAAUUGCAAUUCGACAUAUUGCAAAAUAUGGAAUUUUAAUUCUGAAAAUCUUCUGCAGACACGUUUUGUUUAUGUAACUCUUAUAAUUGUAUCCUUCCCUAUCUUAUUCACAACUUCCUGCCCAUCCUAUUCUAACAACUUCCAAGCCGAAUUCUGAAGAUUUAAAUUCAGUAAUCAUCAUGGAUAAUGUGUAAUAAGGUCCUUCGGCAAUGUCAUGUGCUUACCUAUAAAUGCUUUAACUUCAUCACUUCAUGCUAUUGUUUAGAAAUCAGUAUCAAUAAAUUUCUCUUUAAGAACCUUUACUAUUCUCUUAGAUUAUGAUGACAAAACGUUUUCAUGUAUUACCCCAGUAGGAAGUCUUGUGUGGUGGUUUAGUUAUUAUAUGGUGGAUGGAGUCCGGAUCUGCAAGUCAUUGGCCUGAGCAAGUGAAGCGGUGGAAGGAAACGGUAAUUAUAGGGUCGCAGCAACAUAUGUGCAAUUUGGUAUUGAAUUAUUUCAAAAGUAGUUUGGGCAUUUGAAGCAGAAUUACUCUAUAAGUAAGAUAAUUGCUCUAAUGACAUCACCAAUCUAAAGUGAAUUCAAGUAUGAUCCUUUUUUCAAUAAUUUUUUUUUGGGUAAGUUGGAUAGUUGUAGAUUUUGUUUAUAAACAAAAAUCAAUUUUAUGGGUUUGAGUAAAUGAUUUUCUAGGAUUUAUCCGUGUAAUCUCCUCGGGACCAUACCACCCUAUUUGCCUAUAGAUACACCUCCAGUUAAAUUUGAAGAGAAAUCAACACGUUGUGUACAAAAAUACAUACAAGUUCGUAAAUUUACAAAUUAAGUCAUUUGAUAAGUUUAAUAGCUGAAUAACCAGAGACUUUACAGUCAUAAUAUUGUCCUGUGGCUUCUAUUUACCCUUUGUUAUUUCUUGAUCAAAAUGCGUGAUGAUUCGAAUGAAUAUUAAACCACUUAUAGUAACAACUAUUUGGUUUAUUAUACCCAGACCAUAUUCCACAUAAAAAACUCGACUUGGAAGUCAUGACACGUAAAGAUCACAAAGACAAAUUUCAACUUUUUCGAGUGUAACAAACUCGCUCAAAAUUUGCCGAGCAACAUUCUAAUGGAGUCAUGAGAUACGCUUCGUCUAUAGACUUCUCGACAUGAACAAUGAAUCAGCUUGCAAUGCCAAGAGAAUUUCCAUUACCAAGAGGUGUUAGGCCAAAAUCCGAAAGAAUAUCAGGUAUUAUAAGGCUGCUUUUGUCAUUAUUGCUGCAUAAAAUGAGGCUAGCCUAAACAUUAUAGAUGACAACCAAUAAUCUUACUACAGCAACAAAAGAAAUUUCAAGAGAAGAAAGUGGGACUUCAUGGAGGAUGACUCCACGAGUACUGCUAAUCAUUUCAAAGAUCGUUGAAGACUGCAAAUAAAUCACCACUGAUGUAAUC